RNAcentral lists this ribosomal RNA (363 nucleotides) under Triticum aestivum (bread wheat). RNAcentral describes it as "partial small subunit ribosomal RNA". The record is from RNAcentral. Lineage: Eukaryota; Viridiplantae; Streptophyta; Magnoliopsida; Poales; Poaceae.
AUGGAAGCCAUGGUGUUCAAGGCUUUGCUCCACUUCAUCUACACCGAUUCGCUGCCCGCGAUCGACGAGGGCGACGUGGCGGCGAUUGCUCAGCAUUUGCUGGUAGCGGCUGACAGGUAUGAUAUGGAGAGGCUGAAGCUAAUCUGCGAGGGGAAGCUGUGCGAUCACAUCUGCAAAAGCACGGUGGCGACUUCGCUGGCGUUGGCGGAGCAGCAUGGCUGUGGUGCUCUUAAGAAGGCAUGCUUGAAGUUUCUGACGUCUGAAGGUAACCUGAAGGCAGUGAUGGCAUCUGAUGGAUAUGAGCACCUGAGCAACAGUUGCCCAUCUGUUCUCUAUGAACUGGUCGCCAAGCUUGCUCCUUGA